CACCGCCCAUCACACUAUAGGAGCUGGCCAUGUUUGAAGUGUUUACCCUUAACCGUAAAGAGGGGGAUGCCUAAGGCUAGGCUUGCGACUGGAGUGAAGUCGUAACAAGGUAGCCGUACUGGAAGGUGCGGCUG
RNAcentral lists this ribosomal RNA (134 nucleotides) under Triticum aestivum (bread wheat). Its description in RNAcentral is "rRNA SSU_rRNA_eukarya". It matches the Rfam family "Bacterial small subunit ribosomal RNA", at positions 1388 to 1520 of the family's 1533-position model. The record is from RNAcentral. Lineage: Eukaryota; Viridiplantae; Streptophyta; Magnoliopsida; Poales; Poaceae.